RNAcentral lists this ribosomal RNA (441 nucleotides) under uncultured bacterium. Its description in RNAcentral is "partial 16S ribosomal RNA". It matches the Rfam family "Bacterial small subunit ribosomal RNA", at positions 338 to 795 of the family's 1533-position model. The record is from RNAcentral.
CCUACGGUGGGCAGCAGUGGGGGAUAUUGCACACUGGGGGGAACCCUUAUGCAGCGACGCCGCGUGGGUGAAGGAGUGCUUCGGCAUGUAAAGCCCUAUCGGCAGGGCAGAAGCAAGACGGUACCUGACUAAGAAGCCCCGGCUGAAUACGUGCCAGCACCCGCGGUAAUACGGAGGGGGCGAGCGUUAUCCGGAUUCACUGGGUGUAAAGGGAGCGUAGACGGCCAUGCCAGCCAGGGGUGAAAGCCCGGGGCCCAACCCCGGGACUGCCCGUGGAACUGCAGGGCUGGAGUGCGGGAGGGGUAGGCGGAAUGCCUGGUGUAGCGGUGAAAUGCGGAGAUAUCAGGAGGAACACCGGCGGCGAAGGCGGCCUGCUGGACCGCGACUGACGUUGAGGCUCGAAAGCGUGGGGAGCGAACAGGAUUAGAUACCCCAGUAGUC